UCCAUGUUGGUGGUGCCUUGGGAGUAGGCGUCCAGAAGGUGCUUGUGGAUCUCCUCCAUCCUCCCGGAUUGUUCAUCGUCUCUGUCCAUCUCUAUCAGAUCCUGCAGAAACCAAAGCUUAAUUGAAUAUGCUUGAAAACCGGUGUCUGCAAUACUGAUGGAAGAGGACUGUCCCGAUGAUUAGUAGGACGGUGAACCCUGAAGAUAUAGUAGCGUGCUUUAUGGUGAACACUCCAAGAGCUAUGGUCUGUGUCAAAACCAGGGCGAAAACCAAGGUGCUGUGCAUGAUUGGCCACAGUUUCCCUCCCAUUUCGUACUUUGGAAGGAAGUGUGUUCACCUGAUUGCGAUACACUAGGUAGCCGAGGCAAAAGUAGACUAGCAAGAAGGGCAGUAUGAGAGGUGCCAUUAUCGAAAAUGUGAAGCCAAGCAGGUUGAACAGGAGGACUUUCGGGACUUCAGUAUGGUAAGGGAAAGAGUAGCCAUAUUCUGGAUCAUCCCGGUAGCAAAAUAUACAUUUUCUGAAGAAGUUAUAUACUAAGUUGUACACUUGCAAUAUCUCGGAGCAUAGACUUGCCCAUCCUGAUGUGAGGACAUAAGUGAUGAAGAAAGUUGCCUGUAAAAUUCGGCAAGCAUAGAUGGCAUAUCCCUUGGUCUAGUGAAGACAUUUAGCUGAUUUAGCACGGAUCCUGACAGGACAUUGACAAAGAAGACGUUCCAGAUGGUAAAGAACAAAAUUUUGCAGCAAGCACUUUUUUUCCUGCCACUGCGAGAAAUCGAUCCUUCUAUGGAAGAGAAGAACAUCAUCAAUGGAGGAACUGUGUACAGGGACAGCAGCAGAACGACGCUAGGGAGGUAUCCCGUUACAAAAAGUCUGAACUUACUUCUUCAACAUGUUUUUCAGGCUUGGAAAUAGCUGCUCAAUCUGAUCCAGUUGCAUCAUGCUUUGGACGAAUGCAACGGGGACAAUAAAAACAAACAUGAAGGCAACACUAGCUGCAAGUGUUGCUAUUUUCCGGAGCCAGAUCUGUCUAUAGGGGAUCCAGAGGUUUGACCAAUAGACAUCCCUUGGCUCAGGAGCAAAAUCUGUCACCCAUAGCAUAGGAUUUGAAGAUUGAAGAAUUCGUGAAGCAACAAUUGCCGCAUAGCGAGUCUUGAAGAAUACUAUAGCACCUGGACAAUCCUGGAGAAGACCUUCUGAGCUUCAAUUACUUCUGGAUCACUUAGGUCUGGCUUCUUGGAAUUGAUGAAUUUAUUGCGAUAUUGCUGAAACGACGAAGCCCGUACUCCACAAAGACCACAUCUGGACAAGUCAGACCUUCUACUCUGUCCAAAUGAAGACAUCUUAACUCUUACAAAUUUCCUAUAUACCCUCUCUGCAUUAUCCUGAAGAAACAAACUUAUAUGCCUGAGGAGUAACUGGAUCCAUGAUAAUUAACAAAGAAAUUUCUGAUAGUGUCAUCAAGUAGCUCAUUAUCUGACUUUGGUAUUGAUCGAACAAUCACAGAAAAAUGACCCGGACCAGGUGCAUGCAAUCGUCCAAAAUUUUCAGCUAAUAUUAUUCUUUUGCGUGUAUCCAACUUCAGGUGAACAUGAUAUAUUAGGAAAUUGUUUCAAGAUUCAGGUGAACCGAGAUCUUACAUUCGUGAUCCUUCUUUGAGAUUUGCAAUUGUGAAUACAUUGAGAGACUCUGCUGGAAUACGUCCGUGAUUCGUUUCUUUCCCAUGGUAAUUAACAGGAAGCACUCCAAAUAUGCAAACAAGAGAAGUUAUCGAGAAGAUACGUAUGCUGCAGAAGAAACAAUGCGGAGGAACACCACGGAAUCCAAGCCAGCAACCCGUCGUAUCUCCUCUUCCGUGCACCAGUACGCUUUCACUAUCCAUCCAGCGGUAGGCAAGAGCCUCUCAAGCGAGAAGUAGUCGACCUGCUGCCGGAACUUCUCCUCGGCGAGCCGCCUCCCGAAGUAGACGCCAUAGUUGUGAGGCUGCUUCCUAAGGACUGAAUAGAGUGACAGGAAGAGCGCACAGAGGCCGAUGUUUAUGCCUGCCGAAGUCAGAAGGGCAGAAAAUUCCAUC
Molecule: small RNA, 2072 nt
Filed under: Oryza sativa Japonica Group (Japanese rice)
Lineage: Eukaryota; Viridiplantae; Streptophyta; Magnoliopsida; Poales; Poaceae
Description: sRNA Os03g0726350
Source: RNAcentral